CAGAAUAUAGUUUAAAAAAAAUAUUAGUUUUGGAGACUAAAGAUAAAAUUUAGUUAUUUAUUCUGA
Molecule: transfer RNA, 66 nt
Filed under: Eolachesilla chilensis
Lineage: Eukaryota; Metazoa; Arthropoda; Insecta; Psocodea; Lachesillidae
Description: tRNA-Pro
Source: RNAcentral